GUUAGGAAUCUUCCACAAUGGGGGCAACCCUGAUGGAGCAACACCGCGUGCUGGAUGAAGGCCUUCGGGUCGUAAACAGCUUUUGUAUACGAAGAAUAUGACGGUAAUAUACGAAUAAGGGUCGGCUAACUACGUGCCAGCAGCCGCGGUCAUACGUAGGACCCAAGCGUUAUCCGGAGUGACUGGGCGUAAAGAGUUGCGUAGGCGGCUUAUUAAGAGAGUAGUGAAAUCUGGUGGCUCAACCAUCAACACAUUGCUCGAACUGAUAGGCUUGAGAAUGGUAGAGGUAGUUGGAAUUUCUUGUGUAGGAGUGAAAUCCGUAGAUAUAAGAAGGAACACCAAUGGCGUAGGCAGACUACUGGACCAUUUCUGACGCUGAGGCACGAAAGCGUGGGGAGCGAACCGGAUUAGAAACCCCGGUAGUCC
Molecule: ribosomal RNA, 426 nt
Filed under: uncultured bacterium
Lineage: Bacteria
Description: partial 16S ribosomal RNA
Rfam family: Bacterial small subunit ribosomal RNA
Source: RNAcentral